RNAcentral lists this ribosomal RNA (497 nucleotides) under uncultured bacterium. RNAcentral describes it as "partial 16S ribosomal RNA". It matches the Rfam family "Bacterial small subunit ribosomal RNA", at positions 28 to 507 of the family's 1533-position model. The record is from RNAcentral.
GAUGAACGCUGGCGGCGUGCCUAAUACAUGCAAGUCGAGCGAACAGACGAUGAGAUUGCUCCUUUGACGUUAGCGGCGGACGGGUGAGUAACACGUGGAUCACCUACCUCUAAGACUGGGAUAACUUCGGGAAACCGGAGCUACUACCGGAUAAUAUAUUGAACCGCAUGGUUCAAUAGUGAAAGGCGGUUUUGCUGUCACUUCUAGAUGGAUCCGCGUCAGAUUAGCUAGUUGGUAAGGUAACGGCCUACCAAGGCGACGUAGCGUAGCUGACCUGAGAGGGUGAUCGGCCACACUGGAACUGAGACACGGUCCAGACUCCUACGGGAGGCAGCAGUGGGGAAUAUUGCGCAAUGGGCGGAAGCCUGACCGAGCAACGCCGCGUGAGUGAAGAAGGUCUUCGGAUCGUAAAACCCUGUUAUUAGGGAAGAACAAAAGCGGAAGUAAACAUGGCCGUCCUGACGGUACCCAAACAAAAAGCAACGGCUAACUACGUG